AGAGUUUGAUCAUGGCUCAGGAUGAACGCUAGCUACAGGCUUAACACAUGCAAGUCGAGGGGAAACGACAUCGAAAGCUUGCUUUUGAUGGGCGUCGACCGGCGCACGGGGUGAGUAACGCGUAUCCAACCUGCCCACCACUUGGGGAUAACCUUGCGAAAGUAAGACUAAUACCCAAUGACGUCUCUAGAAGACAUCUGAAAAGAGAUUAAAAGAUUUUAUCGGUGAUGGAUGGGGAUGCGUCUGAUUAGCUUGUUGGCGGGGUAACGGCCACCAAGGCGACGAUCAGUAGGGGUUCUGAGAGGAAGGUCCCCACAUUGGAACUGAGACACGGUCCAAACUCCUACGGGAGGCA
RNAcentral lists this ribosomal RNA (355 nucleotides) under uncultured bacterium. RNAcentral describes it as "bacterial SSU rRNA". It matches the Rfam family "Bacterial small subunit ribosomal RNA", at positions 8 to 350 of the family's 1533-position model. The record is from RNAcentral.